GGAGAGGUCGCAUAGUCCGGUCUAGUGCGCACGAUUGGAAAUCGUGUAUCCUGCAAAGGAUCGCGGGUUCAAAUCCCGCCCUCUCCGCCA
This 90-nucleotide transfer RNA is filed under the name Chloroflexota bacterium. RNAcentral's name for it is "Chloroflexi bacterium (freshwater metagenome) tRNA-Ser". It matches the Rfam family "tRNA". From Rfam's summary of the family: Transfer RNA (tRNA) molecules are approximately 80 nucleotides in length. Their secondary structure includes four short double-helical elements and three loops (D, anti-codon, and T loops). The record is from RNAcentral. Lineage: Bacteria; Bacillati; Chloroflexota.